GGGCUGCCUUGGGAGAAUGAUGGAAAAGGCUGUCUCUUUGCAUGGUUGCUAGCUUUUGAGGGCACAGCUACACAGGAACGCACCCAAGAAGAAAGAAGGGUUCCUCUUUCCAAAGCUACCCAUGCUUCUGUUCUGUGACGGUUACGUCCUCCAAGGAGCUUACAGAUGGCCUGGUGACAUGGAGGUGACAAAGGCCAAAACACAGGCCAGGAGGAGAGAUCUGUUCGAUGGGACACAGAAUAUAACCUGGAACACAGAAUGUAACCCGGAAGGUAAGAGCAAAAGUAGCUCCUGAAGCCAGGCUGCUGAAGUGCAAGAGACGCACACAAGAGAAAUGACCCCGGAUACUGAAGGCUGCGUCUGGAAUACUACAGAAUUAUAAUACUUAUAGUUAACAACCCUGAUGUGGAUUCUGAAAAGCUUUAAGAGGUGUAGAGUUUGAGCUGGGUACUAGCUCAGCUGUUGAAGGAUUUAAAGAUUUAUAACCCAAAUGCCAUGGAUUCUGUAAUUUGUCAGACUAUUUCUCUCUGGACAGUUGGAUCUCAAAGGUGGCAGCAGUAUACGUCCCUCACAACCUGUCAGCUCAGCA
Rattus norvegicus (Norway rat) is the source of this 589-nucleotide long non-coding RNA. RefSeq lists it as uncharacterized. The record is from RefSeq and is a predicted model, not a curated record. NCBI's taxonomy places the organism in Eukaryota, Metazoa, Chordata, Mammalia, Rodentia, Muridae.